Podarcis lilfordi (Lilford's wall lizard) is the source of this 75-nucleotide non-coding RNA. Lineage: Eukaryota; Metazoa; Chordata; Lepidosauria; Squamata; Lacertidae. The record is from the annotation of a GenBank genome assembly.
ACUCAGGGAUGGCUCAGUUGGUAGAGCAUGAGACCCUUAAUCUCAGGGUUGUGGGUUUGAGCACCACGUUGGGCA